RNAcentral lists this long non-coding RNA (1110 nucleotides) under Equus caballus (horse). RNAcentral's name for it is "lncRNA (ENSECAG00000048497.1)". Lineage: Eukaryota; Metazoa; Chordata; Mammalia; Perissodactyla; Equidae. The record is from RNAcentral.
AACUGAGAGUCGGGCUGCCUCUUGGGAGGAGAAACAGGUGACAGCAAUACUUAACAUGGAGUACAUGGGUUUCAGAAGUUCGUGGACCUCCUAAAAUUAUGGACAAUAUUUGAUGCUGAUUACAUGGUGUCUCUGUGAAAAUUCAUCAGGCGGUAUGCUUGAGAAACUGGAUGCAAUGUAAGAAGUCCAAGCCACCGAAGACCACCAGGCUGGGAAGAAGUCCGAGCUGGCCACAGGGAGAGGCCGGGGAAGCAAGGAGGCCAGCAGACAGCCACGGCCGAGCCUCUAGUCGGAUGCAGUCUAUGAGUGACUCCAGGCAAAACUAGAACAACUGCCCAGGCACUUACAGAAGUGUGUUCAGCAAAUAGUCAUCGAAUGAAUGAAGGAAGGAAGGAAGGAGUGAAGCUCCCUUCCUUUCUGAAAUGCCAUGAUGAUAACCUUUCACUGAUGAAUUGAAGAAUAUUGUAAAUUAUCGUUCCCCAAACUGGAUUCCGUUUCCCAGCUGGUAACAGGGGUUUUGUAUAGGUGUGUGUGUGCGCGGGUGCGUUCGUUGAAUAUUUUUGGAUAUCCUAGCCCCCUCCACUCUCUAGCUCUUUUUAAAUAUUUCACAGCUACCCUCCCCUCUUUUUUUUUCAGAUAGAAUGCAAGUUUCCAGCAGCUCACUAAGCAUUAUUUUCCCUUUGUAAAGCAAAUUGAAUGGGGGCAGCCUGGGAGGCCACAGUUCCUCCGGGAGGCGGGAGGGUAAGGAGUUGGUUGGUCCCUGGGGAUUCUGUCGCUGGGAGAGGCUCGGCUGAUGAGCGACUAUCCCCUGCUGCACUGAGGGCAAAAAUCAACUUAUUCCUUUCAGUCGUUUUCACUGAACUGUUUUUAUUAUCGUUCCCACCGCAUCUUAUCCUACUAGAACGAAAUGCAAUCAAAAUAUGGAUUUAAUUUGACGAGGGAAAGGGCCACGAACAACUGUGAAUUGUCAGUGCUGUGGCAGGCGACAGCCCUGACUUCUGCAAGAACAAAGAUGAGUCAAGCAGCUUUUGCAGAUCAAAGGGAGCUGUCAUACUGCUCCACUGACAAGGCUCGUUAGGUAGAGAAGAAAAUAUCCGAAACACAAGUCAU